ACGGAAGGCAGCAGUGAGGAAUAUUGGUCAAUGGACGGAAGCCUGAACCAGCCAAGUCGCGUGAAGGAUGAAGGUAUUAUGUAUUGUAAACUUCUUUAGACGUAGAGAAAUAAGAGGCUCGUGAGCCUUGAUGCUAGUAUACGUAGAAUAAGGAUCGGCUAACUCCGUGCCAGCAGCCGCGGUAAUACGGAGGAUCCGAGCGUUAUCCGGAUUUAUUGGGUUUAAAGGGUGCGCAGGCGGCCCUGUAAGUCAGCGGUUAAAUCGUGGAGCUCAACUCCAUCCCGCCGUUGAUACUGCAGGGCUUGAUUGCGGUCGAGGUUGGCGGAAUUCGCCGUGUAGCGGUGAAAUGCAUAGAUAUGGCGAAGAACGCCGAUUGCGUAGGCAGCUGACCAGGCCGUAAAUGACGCUCAUGCACGAAAGUGCGGGGAUCGAACAGGAUUAGAUACCCUGGUA
Molecule: ribosomal RNA, 453 nt
Filed under: uncultured Porphyromonadaceae bacterium
Lineage: Bacteria; Pseudomonadati; Bacteroidota; Bacteroidia; Bacteroidales; Porphyromonadaceae
Description: partial 16S ribosomal RNA
Rfam family: Bacterial small subunit ribosomal RNA
Source: RNAcentral